RNAcentral lists this non-coding RNA (181 nucleotides) under uncultured Eubacterium sp. RNAcentral describes it as "Lysine riboswitch". It matches the Rfam family "Lysine riboswitch aptamer". From Rfam's summary of the family: Riboswitches are metabolite binding domains within certain messenger RNAs that serve as precision sensors for their corresponding targets. Allosteric rearrangement of mRNA structure is mediated by ligand binding, and this results in modulation of gene expression. Lineage: Bacteria; Bacillati; Bacillota; Clostridia; Eubacteriales; Eubacteriaceae. The record is from RNAcentral.
UAUGUAGAGGCGCGGACGCGAUAAGUAUCCAGUGUGAUGCCGCUGUGGCAGAUGAAGACUGGAGAAAGGUAAAUCCGCCGAAGUGGGCAAGUACACAGAUCCUUGUCUGCUGGUUCUGGGGAGAAAAUCUUUAGGACUGUCAUCAACGGGAAAAAGCACCCAACGAUGGAGAGCUACGGAA